RNAcentral lists this long non-coding RNA (273 nucleotides) under Sorghum bicolor (sorghum). Its description in RNAcentral is "long non-coding RNA (SBIC_LNC002566)". Lineage: Eukaryota; Viridiplantae; Streptophyta; Magnoliopsida; Poales; Poaceae. The record is from RNAcentral.
AUCACUUGGAGUUUUAUAAUAUUUUUGCAAAGAAAAACUUAGCUUACCCUUCUCCAUCUUGUAGCACACUCGAAUCACUCAUUAUAGGUGGUAUUUGUGGAACUCACCAAAGCAUAUGUGCAUCAUAUGUAUCCUACUCUAUACAGGCUUAUAUGGAGUUAAAGGUAAUUCAAGGAAAUAGCAUACUUACCUUGCAUAUUUUGCUAAGUCAAAACUCAGAUCCAUGGAGGGGAAUAGCAUACUCUUAGAUCAAGAAGUGCAUGUGUGUGGAAU